Molecule: ribosomal RNA, 603 nt
Filed under: Triticum aestivum (bread wheat)
Lineage: Eukaryota; Viridiplantae; Streptophyta; Magnoliopsida; Poales; Poaceae
Description: partial small subunit ribosomal RNA
Source: RNAcentral
AUGGGGAAGAUAAGCAGAUACCUAGACUCAGCGAAGCAGAAGUUCAGCGGGAUGAAGUCUCACGACUGUCGCGUGCUGAUGACGCAGAUACUUCUAGUUGCAAUCUGUGGGAUCAUGGACGCUCACGUCCGUGAAACGCUAUUUGGCCUAUGCAACUUUUUCGACGUCAUCUCUCGGAAGUCGGUUGGCGUGAGGCAAUUCAGAAGGCUACAAGAAGAGAUCGUGCUGAUACUAUGCGAGCUUGAGAUGUACUUCCCGCCUGCAUUCUUCAAUGUUAUGGUGCAUCUGCUGGUCCAUAUCGUGGAGGAUAUCAUCCAACUCGGGCUGACAUUCCUGCACAGCAUGAUGCCGUUCGAAAGGAUGAAUGGUGUCAUCAAAGGAUACAUUCGCAACAUGUCACGUCCAGAGGGAAGCAUAGCCAAGGGCUUUCUGACCGAAGAGUGCAUCUCCAACUGCACGAAUUAUCUAGGCAUCGAGAACCUCAUUGGUCUGCCCGUCAACAGGCACCUCGGCAGGUCGCUGGAUGGAGUCACCAUGAGGGUCGCCGCAAAAUGCAUGUCGACUUCGAGGGUUGACUCGCCGACUUUGAAAGAGCAAACCUAG